This is a long non-coding RNA of Amphiprion ocellaris (clown anemonefish), 3212 nucleotides long. RefSeq lists it as uncharacterized. Lineage: Eukaryota; Metazoa; Chordata; Actinopteri; Pomacentridae. The transcript is spliced from 2 exons. The record is from RefSeq and is a predicted model, not a curated record.
GCACGACACCUUUCAUCUACCUUCAUUUCCAUCUCAGCUGUCUCUUCACUUCUUUUAUCCUCAAGCUGCGACAGUACACGAAGCAUGGAUCAAACGUAUCUGGUGAUCCCUCAGACAGGAGAGCCCUUUUAGCUUCAGUUUGACUGCAGGGAUGAGUUCAUUUAAACCCAAAUUAAAUUAUUUAUGAAGCGUUUCCCAGCUUAUAACCAUUAGUUUUACUGGUGGAAUUUGAGGACUAUAUUGGUGGCCAUAUUGGCAUAAACUGACUGCAGUCAUUUUAAAUACUCUCACAGGAUUUCCUGACAACAGUGACUUGGUACCAGCCCUGAUAACAUCUGUCUGCUGGUUUGCUCAUUGCAAACAAAAGCUGCGAAAUUUAGAAAUUCUCCAAACAAACUUUAAAUCCAGCAGUUGUUCUGACACAGUUGCACACACACACACACGCACACACUAAACAGACAACCUCAGGAAAAAUCCAUAACUCAUCAUAAAAACGCCAAACUAACAAAAGUGAAUAGCAGCAUGGGGGUUUAUGGAGUUGAGGCGUUUUUAUCAGUAUAAUUAAUGAAUUACAUCUGGUGCUGUCAGAUUGCAAUCUGUUGUGGGAGAGAUUGUUUCUGCCACAGUGGAAUAGAGCCCAAUCAGCCUGCUUAAUUGGUACAUUCGCUCUGUCACCACUUGCUCUCAUCCUUGAUUAGACACACACUCACUGGCCAAGUAAACCACUGGCCUGGUCAGCACUAGCAGGGCUGCUCUCUGAUUAAGAUCUCAAGCUGUGUUUGUGUGUGUGUACAUGUGUGAGGUUGAGGGUGAUGGAAGUGUGAAAGUGUGUCUGUGUGUGUGUUUGCAAGGCAAUGAUCAAGUCACAUCAUUCUCUUCAAAUCCCAAAGUCACCCAUCAUGAAAAGCAGCAUGUGAUUUACAUACAAAUACACACAGGGCUAUAAGUGUGUUUGCAUAUAUACACAGACUUGUGCUCACUUAUUCACACAUGUAGAAACUUGUGCACAUAGCAAUGCAGUUUUUCUGCAAAAGGCUUUAAGGUGCAAUAUGCAAGAUAAUGUAACAGUAAUAUAGCAGGAAACAGCUAUCUGCUACUGGUGCAGUGGAAGAGACAAUGAAGUCACACUGCUUCUGUAUGUUGUUUAUCGAGCUCCAGUAUGUUUUUGUUUCUGUACAUGCACAUUACUGUCUGUUAGUGCAUGUGAGUUUCUCCCUUUGAGACUGUUCUGUGUGCUUGUAAAUAGAUCAAAAGUGACUUCCCACACCGAGACACUACCGUCUACAGAAUGUCCAAAUAUAUCCAAAAAAUAAUGAUGUAGACUACCGUUCAAAAAUUUAGGGUCACUCAGGCAAUUUCGUGUUUCCAUGAAAACUCCCACUUUUAUUCAUGUGCUAACAUAAUUGCACAAGGGUUUUCUAAUCAUCAGUUAGCCUUUCAGCACCAUUAGCUAACACAAUGUAGCAUUAGAACACAGGAGUGAUGGUUGCUGGAAAUGUUCCUCUGUAUCCCUAUGGAGAUAUUCCAUUAAAAAUCAGCCGUUUCCACCUAGAAUAGUCAUUUACCACAUUAACAGUGUCUAGACUGUAUUUCUGAUUAAUUUAAUGUUAUCUUCAUAGAAAAAAGACAUUUCUAAAGCCGCGAUUCCACAAGCACCUACUCGGCGCGGUGUGGCUCUGCUUGUCUUUGUUUGCGAGCGUUUCCAUAUGGAUUAGUGCACGGUCUCAGGCACGAUUUUCCGUACCUUCUUGGCUGAGGUUCCAAGCGAGAUGAAGUGAGCCGAGAUGUGACGUCUACAUAGUCCAGGCCACUGAUUGGACAGGAGUGCAGGCCACUGAUUGGACCAGGGAGUGACGACACACGAGAGCGACUCCAGCACGAAAACAAAACCGGCAUUUAAAAAAAACUAAACAGCGACGGUGUGCAUUGCUGUUCACGGAACUCUCUGUUCUUCAUAAUUUUAAUAUGACAGCCAGACCUGUACCGUGGGUGAAUGAAGAGGUCGAGACUUUUCUGUCUUUGGUGGCGGACCAAAGAAUACAGAGGGAGCUGGACGGAGAAAGUUUAUCAGGAGGUCUCAGAGCGGAUGGCCACCCACGUAUACAGUAGACUGUAUAUAAAGAGGACAGAAGCAGUGUAGGGAGAAGCUGAAAAAGCUCAAAAGUAACUAUCGGUCCACCAAGGACCACAGCGGCCGGCGUGGGUCAACCAGGAGGUGUUGGAAGAGGUUUAAUAGAAGCUAUUUACUGGCACUGCACCGGCGAGCAACAAGAGGGAGACUCAGCUGCUGCAUUAUUGGAGACGUUCGAGGACGGUGAGUGUUUUGUGACUUCAGGAAACUUUUACAUCAUCUAUCCCAUUGGUGGCGAGGUUCUUUUAAGCAAACAAGUAUAUUUAGAAAGUAACGUUGUUGUCUCCUGUAGCAGACGAUAAGCUAGCUAGUUAGCCAUCAGCGCUAGCUAGUUAGCCAUCGGCGCUAGCUAGUAAGCCAUCAGCGUUAGCUCCGUGCUUGUAUUUCGUGCUGCUGUUUCUGACGUUUAGCUCUCAGAAGUUAAUACACCAGUCAGCAUGACGAACUAAGCUAGGUUUAUUUUUUUUCACAAGUUACAAUGUCGUGUUUUUCGUGUGCUUAGGGUGAGUGUUUAUUUCUGUUCAAGAAUCCUUUCCACGUACAAAGCCUACUCCACCUCCGUCGCGGAGCCCCCAGCUCCCCUGCCUCCUCUCCACUACCAGCAGCGGCUCCUCUCCAGCACCAGCUUCGACACCAGGACCAACUCGGACACCGACCCUGUCAACAGCAACCUCCAGCACGUAACAGCAACGUCUUAUCACUGGCAAGAGGAAAAGGGGCAACAGAAAAUUGGACCUUCCAAGCGUACUUGUGGAGAUGCAGGCUGAGGAGGAGUGGAACCGUGCCCAGCAUGAUGAGAACAUUUGGUUGCUCCUCAGCGAGGCAAGAGAGAAUGAAGCGGCCUUGCAGUGGGAGGAGAUGGCCCAGAAUGCUGCCUUCAACCAGUCGUUCCUGGGUGUACUGGGGCAGCUGGUGCAGGUAGUGGGCAGCCAGCGAGUCCACCUCCCAGAGACUUGAGAUUUAGUUGUAUAUAGUUUUACUUUUAGCCCUCCACUGUAGGAGAGGCCCACCACAGUUUGUACUUUGCACAUUGUAAAUAGUUUUGAUUUUGCUGCUGACUAAUAAACUAUUUUGUGACUUA